Molecule: long non-coding RNA, 424 nt
Organism: Ananas comosus (pineapple)
Lineage: Eukaryota; Viridiplantae; Streptophyta; Magnoliopsida; Poales; Bromeliaceae
Exons: 4
Source: RefSeq, a predicted model, not a curated record
UCUCUCUCUAGAUAAAAGUCGUCGUUUUACGCCGAUUUCGCGCCGCGCUCGAUUCUCGCUGGUUAGAAGACUCAAGGGAAGUCUUUGGAACGUGGGAAGGAAGGGUUUUAUUGUGUUUUUCUGUGAGGAUACUGCCUGGGAAGCUGACUCUCAGCUUUAGACAGGGUGUUCCAUCCAGGGGUAAGCUGUAAGUUCAGUUAGAAAACUGAAUUCGCAUGGCUUCGGCUUUUGGAACUCGUAUACGAGCGUUUUGACGCCGUUUACCAUUUCUUCGCAGCAGGAAUGCAAUCGACCCUUGGAUUGUUUUUAGCUGAGUGGUAAGGGCCUUCUGGGAGCUUAACUUGAGGAUUGGGACAUUGUUGAGCUGAUUAUUGGGACAUCUUGUGACUGAUUUGAGCUUAGUACGAGAGCCAUCUACAGGAGA